CGAGGGGACGGCGGAGCGCUACAGGACCAGGUCGAGUUCCUACAGUCAUAUGGCAGCUCCCAGCCCCACACAUGGCGCUGUGAUGUGGGGCCACUCGCUCAGCUCCCCCAGCCUGUUGGAUCCCACCGAGCCCCCCCCGGCCCCACAGAAGCCCGUUCGCUCCCAUUGGGGCCGGGUGAAGGUUCUUCUCACCCGUCUGACCCGUCGCUCCCUGCGGGGCCGCUGACCCACGGCUGCCCCAUAGCGCAGCGCCCCACAUGGCACAGCUCAGUGUGGGGCCGGAACCACCCCACACCACGACCCCCAGCCCUGACCAUAACCCCAUCCCUCACCCCAUAGCCCUGACCCCAACCCCAACCCUGACCUUAACCCCAAC
Non-coding RNA from Coturnix japonica (Japanese quail), 376 nucleotides. The record is from RefSeq and is a predicted model, not a curated record. Lineage: Eukaryota; Metazoa; Chordata; Aves; Galliformes; Phasianidae.